GUGGGGAAUAUUGGACAAUGGGCGCAAGCCUGAUCCAGCAAUGCCGCGUGGGUGAAGAAGGUCUUCGGAUCGUAAAGCCCUUUCGACAGGGACGAUGAUGACGGUACCUGUAGAAGAAGCCCCGGCUAACUUCGUGCCAGCAGCCGCGGUAAUACGAAGGGGGCUAGCGUUACUCGGAAUUACUGGGCGUAAAGGGCGCGUAGGCGGCUCUGUUAGUCAGGCGUGAAAUUCCGGGGCUUAACCUGGGGACUGCGCUUGAUACUGCAGGGCUUGAGGCCGAGAGAGGGUGGUGGAAUUCCCAGUGUAGAGGUGAAAUUCGUAGAUAUUGGGAAGAACACCGGUGGCGAAGGCGACCACCUGGCUCGGUUCUGACGCUGAGGCGCGACAGCGUGGGGAGCAAACAGGAUUAGAUACCCGGGUAGUCC
Molecule: ribosomal RNA, 425 nt
Filed under: uncultured bacterium
Lineage: Bacteria
Description: bacterial SSU rRNA
Rfam family: Bacterial small subunit ribosomal RNA
Source: RNAcentral